UUCACUUAAUUUCAGCUGUAACCGAAAAUUGUGCAACGCCGCGACCUAAAAUCGAUCGACCCACUGAGUUGCAUCGGGCGAGUCCACUCAGGCCAUGUACACAAGGAGAGCUGCGGUCGUCAGGCUCACUUCUCUGAGACGAGCAAUCAAGGUAUGUCGGAGAAGUCCCUCCGAUUUUUGCUGCUCCGUGGAAAUCCCUAAUUUUGCUAGAAGUUUCAGAGCUGGAGCUGAAACAGCUGACGUUUACAACAAUUUUGAUGGGGAUAGCGCUGAAUAUCAAUCUGGUUACGUGAAAUUUAAUCGAAAUGAUCAGUUUAAUGGAAGGAAUUCAGGGGGAGUUGAGCAGAACCAAAACCCUAGUAGGGUUUAUGGUCAAUUUGGGGCUGAAAGAUUGAAUGUAUCCAAUCCAUAUGGUAAUGGCAGCGGUGGUGUUCAGAACCAAUCGGGUUAUAAUUCUUCGAGUUUCGAUAGUCGGAAUCAUGGCCGGAGUUUUGGUGGGCAGAUGGGAAAUGGAACUUUUCAGCAGAAUGUGAGCUCUAAUGGCAGAGGUUUGGAUGCGACGCCACUUAAUCAUGGCGGAGUGCUUUUAGAGAAUUCGAGGGGAGGUUCUUAUGGUGGGAGGGCGGAUAUGCAGGCGAAAAAUGACGGUGAUACUGGAGUUCAUCCGCAAAAUGUUGCUUGGAGUUAUCAUUUUAAUGCAGGGAACUACCAGAGAACUGUGAGUGAAUCUCAGAGAGUAGUGACGGAUUUUGGAGUAUCGACUGAUUUGGCUAUGAAUGCAGAGAGUCAACCCACUAGCAAACUGGAUGAUCUGGAUCAACUCACAAGGGGUGGGAAAGUGAAGGAAGCAGUGGAGCUGCUGGGGUUGCUUGAGAAGGAGAGGAUCCGAGUUGAUAUACCUCGGUUUAUGGCAUUGGUUAAAUCAUGUGGUGAGAAUGAGGCUUUGACUGAAGCUAAAUCUGUCCACAAGCAUCUUGUGAAGUCGAUCGCUCAUCUUGAAGUCAGAAUGUAUAAUCAGAUAAUUGAGAUGUAUUCCAAAUGUGGUUCUAUGGAAGAUGCUUUUGCAGUCUUUGAUCAAAUUCCUGAACGUAAUCUGACAUCUUGGGAUAUUAUGAUAUCUUGGCUUGCUAAGAAUGGCCAUGGAGAAGAGUCCCUCGAAUUGUUUGCAGAGUUUAAGCAAUCCGGGCUAAGACCUGAUGGACAAAUGUUUCUUGGGGUGUUUUCUGCGUGUGGUGUUAUAAGUGAUGUUGUCGAAGGAAUGCUGCACUUUGAGUCCAUGACGAGAGAUUAUGGUGUCGUUCCUGGUAUGGAGCACUAUGCUAGCAUAGUGGACAUGUUGGGAACUGCUGGGUGUGUAGACGAAGCCAUGGAAUUCAUUCAAAGUAUGCCAGUCGAGCCAUCCGUGGAAAUAUGGGAGACCUUGAUGAAGUUUUGUAGAAUACACGGAAACGUGGUGCUUGGUGAUCAAUGUGCGGAGCUUAUUCAGCUCCUUGAUCCCACACGCCUGAAUGAGCAAUCGAGGGCAGGCCUCAUACCACUGACUGCCAGUGAUAUGAACAAAGAGAAAGAGAAAAAGAAAUCAACUGGUCAAGGUCCCCUCGAUGUUAGGCAUAGGGUCCGCGAAUACAGAGCAGGAGAUAGAUCCCAUCCUGAUAAUGAUAGACUAUACCGAUUGCUGAGGUCAUUGAAGCAGCAUAUGAAAGAGGUUGGAUACAUACCAGAGAUCAAAUGUGUGCUCCAUGAUGUGGACCAUGAAACCAAGGAGGAAGCUCUUAUGGCUCAUAGCGAGAGACUUGCAGCCGCACAUGGUUUCUUGACUUCUCCAGCCCGUGCCUCUAUACGUAUAAUAAAGAAUCUCCGUGUGUGCACCGAUUGCCACAACGUGUUUAAGAUCAUAUCAAAGAUAGUUGGCAGGGAAAUUGUUGCACGAGACAGCAAGAGAUUUCAUCAUUUUAGAGAUGGAUCGUGUAGUUGUAAUGAUUUUUGGUGAAAGAGACUGCUUGAUUUGAGAUUAUUCAGGAAUUUUACCUUAUUGUUCUCUGUCAUAAACAGAUAAAGCUUAGUGCUCUUGAAACGUGACAGGAUUCUAUCAAGACCUGAUACAUGGAAGUAAAUGGCUAUGGUGUGCGGAUGAAAGGGGAGAUGGAAAAUGCCGGUUUUUUGGGAAACUUACUUUCACAACGGUUGACAGAUUACCGAGCACCAUGUCGACGUAUGUCGAGUGGGGAUAAGAGGAGAGGAUAGUGGAGUUUAAGAGGAAAGGGCUCAUAUAAUCAUUGCUGCCAAUGCUGAACAUGUAAAC
This is an RNA transcript of Salvia splendens (bonfire salvia), 2302 nucleotides long. It is a transcript of the gene named pentatricopeptide repeat-containing protein At4g32450, mitochondrial, with no coding region annotated. The record is from RefSeq and is a predicted model, not a curated record. The transcript is spliced from 3 exons. Lineage: Eukaryota; Viridiplantae; Streptophyta; Magnoliopsida; Lamiales; Lamiaceae.